Molecule: ribosomal RNA, 465 nt
Filed under: uncultured bacterium
Lineage: Bacteria
Description: partial 16S ribosomal RNA
Rfam family: Bacterial small subunit ribosomal RNA
Source: RNAcentral
CUACGGGCGGCUCCAGUGGGGAAUAUUGCGCAAUGGACGAAAGUCUGACGCAGCGACGCCGCGUGGGGGAAGAAGGUUUUCGGAUCGUAAACCCCUGUCAGGAGGGAAGAAACCAUUGGGUUCGAAUAGGGCCCUUUGCUGACGGUACCUCCAGAGGAAGCACCGGCUAACUCCGUGCCAGCAGCCGCGGCAAUACGGAGGGUGCAAGCGUUAAUCGGAAUCACUGGGCGUAAAGCGUGCGUAGGCGGCCUUUCAAGUCAAAUGUGAAAGCCCACGGCUCAACCGUGGAAUUGCAUUCGAAACUGGGAGGCUUGAGUUCGGGAGAGGGUGGCGGAAUUCCAGGUGUAGGAGUGAAAUCCGUAGAUAUCUGGAGGAACACCAGUGGCGAAGGCGGCCACCUGGACCGAUACUGACGCUGAGGUACGAAAGCGUGGGGAGCAAACAGGAUUAGAUACCCCCGUAGUC